This 498-nucleotide ribosomal RNA is filed under the name uncultured bacterium. RNAcentral's name for it is "partial 16S ribosomal RNA". It matches the Rfam family "Bacterial small subunit ribosomal RNA", at positions 30 to 523 of the family's 1533-position model. The record is from RNAcentral.
AUUGAACGCUGGCGGCAUGCCUUACACAUGCAAGUCGAACGGUAACAGGUCUUCGGAUGCUGACGAGUGGCGAACGGGUGAGUAAUACAUCGGAACGUGCCCGAUCGUGGGGGAUAACGGAGCGAAAGCUUUGCUAAUACCGCAUACGAUCUACGGAUGAAAGCAGGGGACCGCAAGGCCUUGCGCGGACGGAGCGGCCGAUGGCAGAUUAGGUAGUUGGUGGGAUAAAAGCUUACCAAGCCGACGAUCUGUAGCUGGUCUGAGAGGGCGACCAGCCACACUGGGACUGAGACACGGCUCAGACUCCUACGGGAGGCAGCAGUGGGGAAUUUUGGACAAUGGGCGAAAGCCUGAUCCAGCCAUGCCGCGUGCAGGAUGAAGGCCUUCGGGUUGUAAACUGCUUUUGUACGGAACGAAAAGGCUCUUUCUAAUAAAGAGGGUUCAUGACGGUACCGUAAGAAUAAGCACCGGCUAACUACGUGCCAGCAGCCGCAGUAA